UACGUAGGGGGCAAGCGUUGUCCGGAUUUAUUGGGCGUAAAGAGCGUGUAGGCGGCCUUACAGGUCAGCUGUGAAAACUCGAGGCUCAACCUCGAGACGUCGGUUGAAACCGUAUGGCUAGAGUCCGGAAGAGGAGAGUGGAAUUCCCGGUGUAGCGGUGAAAUGCGCAGAUAUCGGGAAGAACACCCGUGGCGAAGGCGGCUCUCUGGGACGGUACUGACGCUGAGACGCGAAAGCAUGGGGAGCGAACAGG
This 253-nucleotide ribosomal RNA is filed under the name uncultured bacterium. RNAcentral describes it as "partial 16S ribosomal RNA". It matches the Rfam family "Bacterial small subunit ribosomal RNA", at positions 524 to 776 of the family's 1533-position model. The record is from RNAcentral.